CAAAUACUCCCUCCGUCCCAAAAUUCUUGUCGUAGAUUUGUUUGGAUAUGAAUGUAUCUAGUCAUGUUUUAGUAUUUUGAUACAUUCAUUUCUAGACAAAUCUAAGACANNNNNNUUGGGACGGAGGGAGUACUAA
Molecule: non-coding RNA, 136 nt
Organism: Hordeum vulgare subsp. vulgare (domesticated barley)
Lineage: Eukaryota; Viridiplantae; Streptophyta; Magnoliopsida; Poales; Poaceae
Source: Rfam